This 72-nucleotide transfer RNA is filed under the name Camelus bactrianus (Bactrian camel). It matches the Rfam family "tRNA". Rfam says of the family: Transfer RNA (tRNA) molecules are approximately 80 nucleotides in length. Their secondary structure includes four short double-helical elements and three loops (D, anti-codon, and T loops). RNAcentral also lists the same sequence under 2 other names. Lineage: Eukaryota; Metazoa; Chordata; Mammalia; Artiodactyla; Camelidae. The record is from Rfam by way of RNAcentral.
GUAUAUAUAGCACAGUGGCAGAGCACAUGCUUAGCAUGCAUGAGGUCCUGGGUUUGAUCCCCAGUACAUCCA